GAAACUUGGGCUAAUACCGAAUGUGCCCGCAAGGGGAAAGAUUUAUCGCCAAUAGAUCAGCCCGCGUAGGAUUAGCUAGUUGGUGGGGUAAUGGCCCACCAAGGCUCCGAUCCUUAGCUGUUCUGAGAGGAAGAUCAGCCACACUGGGACUGAGACACGGCCCAGACUCCUACGGGAGGCAGCAGUUGGGAAUCUUGGACAAUGGGCGAAAGCCUGAUCCAGCCAUGCCGCGUGAGUGAUGAAGGCCUUCGGGUUGUAAAACUCUUUCGACGGGGACGAUAAUGACGGUACCCGUAGAAGAAGCUCCGGCUAACUUCGUGCCAGCAGCCGCGGUAAUACGAAGGGGGCUAGCGUUGUUCGGAAUUACUGGGCGUAAAGCGCGCGCAGGCGGUUUUCCAAGUCAGUGGUGAAAGCCCGGAGCUCAACUCCGGAACUGCCAUUGAAACUGUUAAACUUGAGGACGAGAGAGGUGAGUGGAAUUCCCAGUGUAGAGGUGAAAUUCGUAGAUAUUGGGAAGAACACCGGUGGCGAAGGCGGCU
This 539-nucleotide ribosomal RNA is filed under the name Rhizomicrobium sp. RNAcentral describes it as "bacterial SSU rRNA". It matches the Rfam family "Bacterial small subunit ribosomal RNA", at positions 153 to 726 of the family's 1533-position model. Lineage: Bacteria; Pseudomonadati; Pseudomonadota; Alphaproteobacteria; Micropepsales; Micropepsaceae. The record is from RNAcentral.